GGAUGUGAGGGCAAUCUGGCUGUGACAUCUGUCAUCCCAUUGAUCGCCAGGGUUGAUUCUGCUGAUCUGGCUGUCUAGGCGGGUGUCCCCUUCUUUCCUUAAUGCUCCAUGUGCGUCCCUCCCGAAGCUGCGCACUCGGUUGAAGAGAAUGACAACCCCCGAUAGAGCAGGACCUUUCCUCGUUCAAGGGUGUACCAGUAGCUGCGCUCCCCUGCUAGAACCUCCAAACAAGCUCUCAAGGUCCAUGCAUUUCAUUAUGUUAUGUUUUAUAAACGGUACCCCAAAUCACAUAACAUUUAAGAGCUACAAAAGCUAAGUCAGCUCAGAGUG
RNAcentral lists this small nuclear RNA (330 nucleotides) under Chinchilla lanigera (long-tailed chinchilla). Its description in RNAcentral is "7SK RNA (ENSCLAG00000021608.1)". It matches the Rfam family "7SK RNA". Rfam says of the family: 7SK was discovered as an abundant small nuclear RNA in the mid-70s but a possible function has only recently been suggested. The record is from Rfam by way of RNAcentral. Lineage: Eukaryota; Metazoa; Chordata; Mammalia; Rodentia; Chinchillidae.